Orbicella faveolata is the source of this 1398-nucleotide long non-coding RNA. NCBI's taxonomy places the organism in Eukaryota, Metazoa, Cnidaria, Anthozoa, Scleractinia, Merulinidae. The record is from RefSeq and is a predicted model, not a curated record.
CGAAAUUGAAACCAGAACAGACGCGAUUAUAUAUAAAUCCUUUCUACCGUUAUCUGGAUUUGUUCUCGGUUGUCCCGAGUUCAACUCCCCGACCGCGUUGUGUAAAUAACCAACUGGUCAGCCUCCUAUUUGCAUUAAUUGUUUAUUCAUUUACAGUGUCCCCAAUUAGCACAAGAGCACUAAAUACAUUUCACAUAUAAAUAAAGUUAUUUAUUUAUUUGUUUGUUUGUUUGUUUGUUUGUUUGUUUGUUUGUUUGUUUGUUUAUUUAUUUAUUUAUAAGUACUAAGGCAAAGAGUACAACUUCUGGGUGGUUUUGUGGCUGUACACCAAAUUAACGCGUAAUAAAUGCUGUGGCGAGCUUUCCAGCUUCAAGAGACUUACUGUAACUUACUAUCAGCAAGAGAGGAUAAACGAUAGGAGAGAGUUAACUCCCCAUGUAGGCCUAAUUCCCAAGGCAAUCCCUCGCUAGUUAUUUUUUAUCAUUUUAGAUCACCACCCGGCUUCAGAAAUCUCAGGAUCGGGUCUAGAAAUUGCCAGUGCUCACGUGGACAGCUCAAGUGGCGUUACACACAUUUUAAUUCUCCACGAAAACAUCAAGUGGCAACGCCGGUGGUAAUAGGGAGCUUAAGCAAUGAAAACGGCGACGUCGAGGACGAUGCGUAGUCAAAAAUAAUUUAUAUUUUACCAGCGAAAUUCGAAAUUGUCUAGAUCUGUUCGGUACGCCAGUGGCUCCGGCUAUAUAUAGUCGUCAGGCCAAAUAUGCAAUGACAGCAUUCAAUUCCAAACGGAAAUACGAAAAAUUAACCGUCGUCAUUCGCGUUUCUCAAACUACGCAGAACUUAGUCAUUUCACGUUCUUGUUUUGCAGAGGACAGCAAAGAAAUGUACAAAGAAAUGUACAAAGAUUUACAAAGCACGUGCAAAGGUACACCUCACACAAGUUAACACUACCUUGGGCUCCAGGCUCCCCUUGGUCACCUGAAACAGAUGCAGCAGAAGCCUGGAUAAGAGGUACGUUUUUCAAUGUUCGAUAUAUAAACAAUAGUCUCCAUUUGGCGCGAAGAUAUGCUCGGAUAUUUGUCCGCGGACAUUAUCUGUUCCGAGAAGCGAACAGUUUCCCGAAAGCGUAACAGGAGCGCCAAAUGGAGGCUAUUCUGUUUAUUACCCUUCAAAUAAUUUUCGAAAACUGGAUAAUUAACAUGUUUGUUAAUAAUCAGUUUUUGAAAACUGGGAAAUAUCACUCAGAUAUGGAUUAUAAAUGGAUUAUAAAAACAGAUGUACACCUUUUCGCGUGUUUGAAACGUACCCGUUUCUCCAGUGUCCCCUUUCAAUCCAUCUCUGCCUGGAGGCCCGGUAUUUCCGGGUUCGCCCUUAACGCCUUUAACACCUGAAAAAAAA